GCACAGUUGAAGAGUCCUACAAUAAGACGAAACGGCCGUUCAGUGC
This is a non-coding RNA of Schistosoma mattheei, 46 nucleotides long. NCBI's taxonomy places the organism in Eukaryota, Metazoa, Platyhelminthes, Trematoda, Strigeidida, Schistosomatidae. The record is from Rfam.